UGUCACACAGUAGAUACUAAAGAAGUGUGGCAGCAUUACUCAUUUUUUAAAAUAUUAGAAUAUAAGUUUUUAGAUAUUUUAUAGUUACUCUUGUAUAGUAGAUUACCUGUCAUUAGAAUCAAAUAGGCCUGAUGUGUAACUUCAUACUCUUAACACUUUGAAGUAGGAAGGUAUUUGUAGAUAAGGGUCAAACUAUUCAAUGUUUACCAGGACUUGUUUUAGUAAAGUGAAAGUACUGUGUCAUGAAGCAUAUUUGUGUGGGUAUUUUUUAGUCAUUUUUGGUCAAAAAAUGGAAAUAAAAUACGCUCUUUUGAGUUCACAGGGCUGAGACCACCUCCCUUGCUUAGUGAGAAGGCCUAGCAGAAGAGCAGUAUUGGACAGUUCAAAAAUGUUUGUUUAGAUGUAAAUGUUGAUAAAAAGCUUCAGGUGUCAACACAGUAAGUCCAUUUCUGCUAACAGUGAGUAGACAGUGUAGGGUGCGGCAGCUGGUUGUUGGCAACAGUGUACUUAAUCUUCUCAAAUAGUAGAUGAACCAACCUCAGGGACGUUCCCCCUUAUACUAAAAGGGGAUGUGCCAUCUGGUGUCCUCCGGUGGCAGGAAUGCAGACUACAGGAGAUGGUUCUAGUUCCUUCUACACUCAGUAUCAUCGUAGUUAGGCUCGGGAAUUCACCUUGCUUACGUAAUACUUCCUUGCCUAUGAUUUAGGAAUUUAUAAUGUGGAAAUGAAAUAGUUAAUUGAAGACUUGGCUGAAUUAGUUUCCUUUGGUGAGCAAAAUUAAUCUUAAAACUUAGGUAAGGUGGCCAAGAUUAAAGCAAAAAACCUCAUAGCUCAACUAGAUGUUUGGUGAUUAUGAACCAUUUUGUAUUUGAAACAGCUGAUGAGGAUAGCAUAUGACCCAGAGGUGUUAGAUAUUUGUACAUCUGAAUUAAUUGGUACUUUGUUCUCAUAUAAAAUCCAUUUGUGCAGCUAUUUACAGAAUUCCUUGUCUGUGACCACUUGUGCUAUGAUAGCCAAAAUAAAGGGAGAAAGAUACAGUUCCUAAUACCUAAUAUUUUAUGUCUAUUAGGAGCCAUCUAUCAGGAAAUAUAGUGUGUGUUCUAUUGAUAAAAUUUGGAUUUUGUUACCAUAACACUAUGGUUCUUUGUAUCAGAGAUGUUAGAACUUAGCAUAGACCACCUUCAGAAUCCUCAAAUGUGGUGUUUCAAUAGACCUGUGGUUGGACUUUGUGCUUCAUCUAUUUGAUCUGCUUUAUUUUACUUGACCAUUCUCAUUGAAUCUUCUGUAGUAUUUUUUUCACUUAUAUCUGGGAUAUUUUGGUGGAUAUUUUCAGUAUAACCUAGGUCCUUAAAUUGGUUUAUAAAUUGUUGGGGGAAAUAGGACAUUGCUGAUCUUAAUUUGAUCUUGAUAUUAAAUCUAUGCUGGGUAUUAUUUAAUAUUUCAAAUUGAAAUAUGUCAGAUAAUAUUUUGUGGAAGUAGAUUAUAAACUUUUAAUAGUUAUGGUACAGCAAAGAUCUCAAAAUUAUUCUGGCAGAUUGCUGGGAGUUUUAUUCUUUGAUAUUUAUCCCCCUAAUUCUAUGUAAGUUGAAUGAUAGAUACUACUGCCAUUUAACUUGUGUUGUUACUAAAGAUAAUCAUUCAUUGUCCCAAACCAAGAGACCUUUAGUUAGCAGAGGUGUUCUGUCUGCACGUGUUAAUCCCUUUACAGAGUUGUCCUGGUUGUUAGGAGAGACCUUGGCUGGAUUUAUGAUGAGUUAUGUUUGCUGAGCAUAAGUGAAGCUCAAUGUGAGUGCUCUGAAAUCCAGCCUCAGUGUCAAUCCAAGGACUUGGAAUACAAUUUUUCCUAACAUGAGUUCUUAGACUGUAUAUUUCACAGGGUUUUCCCAGUCAGUGUGUGCAGGUUAGGGACAACAGAGCUAUAGUUUUUUGCCCAGUGAAAUAGAGGAAGGUGAACUUUAAAUUCACUACUACACUUUCCUUUGGUAGAGUAUUUUCUGUGUAGCAUUAUUAUAUCUCACAUUUAUCUUUUUAAUUAUACAUUUCAAAUAAUAACUUGAAAGGUUAUCAACUUUAUAAAUUCAAAGGACUUGGAAGCUACUAUACUGUUGUUCUUCUUUUCCAUUACAAGUAUCACUCAACUUCAACCUUGUACCAGUCAGUUUCCUGAGAGCAUGUCUCCAGACUCUGGGAGGCAACUCCUUUACCACAUAGGUUUGGAAGCGCUCCAGGUUUGGAAAGAGAAUAGACCUACAGAUACAGUCAGAGUCAAUCCCUCUGCUAGAGGAGCUGGAGAAAUAACCCAGACUUGAAAUGGAAGACUUCUGUGGCUUGGGCUGAAUAAAAUAAUAAAUCAAAGGAUUUUUUAAGUUAUGAUUUAUGAAUUUAUGAGAGUAAGUUUUUGCAAUGAUGCUGGUUUUCUUAUUUUUGUAGGAAGGCAGAAAAUUGGGGGCAUUGUAUUCUAAUUAUCUUUCUCAUAAUGUUUAAAUGUGUAACCUUUUCUAGUGAGCUUGGCUGAAUAUCAUGGCUUUGAGUUUUAAAUACAUUUGGUGUUUUCUUCAUUGAAUUAUGGUCCUAAGUGGUGUCAAGGUACCAAUAGAAAUAUUCCUUCCUUGAAAAAUUGCUGCAGGCACAAUGAAGAAACUUUCAUAAAAGUCUUGAUUUACUGAAUAACAUUUUUGUUCACCUAAGAUUGUAACAUGGCAAAAUUUGUAAAAAUUGAUUACCAGAAGGCAUAGACUGACUUUUCUGAUAAUGUUCCUUUAUGGUGAAAUUGAAACAUGGCUGACCAGAAGUGUUUGUGUCUUUAUUACUGUUCUCUCUCCAAGGCCUUGCAUAAUAAUUGGCAUAUAGUAGGUGUUUGAUACAUAAUAAUUUUUGUUAAAUUGGCAUAUUGUUACCACAGUAAAUGGUGAAUCAGAACAUGACUAAGAAAAAGAUACAAGAUAAUAGGCAAAAUUUGGCUUCCAUUUUAACUGCAAUUUUUCUCAUUCUUUGUAAGAGUUUGAGUCAAGAAACAAGGGCAUUUUAUUGUGCCCAUUUCUGGGAGCAGGGACUUGCAGUGCUUAUUGUCCUAAACUAAUCUUGCAUAUUAUAACAUCAGUUAGAAUUAUACUUAGAUGCUAAUGCCAAAUUUUGAGUUGGAGCCCUGGUGGAAAGAGGAAACCAUGCCCCUUAAGAUUGGUCUCCUCCUAUUGGAUGCUCGCCUCUGUUUCAGUCUGGCUCACUGGAGAGUAAAUCUAUGUUGGCAAUCUAUAUGUGUGUGCAUUUGAACUUGCCCUUUGUGCUUUGUUGCUUUAUGCAGAUCUCUUCAAAUAAAUCAAGAGGGAAAUGUUGAGUAUGUGACAAACUACAUGGUCACAUAAAAAUAUAUGAAAAUGCAUCUCAUCUAGGUUAGCAAAAUAUUUUGAUUACUUGUUCUUGUGGGUCUUUUAAUAUAUGUAAACAUCUGCAAUUCUGUAAAAGAAAAGACUAAGCAAUUAUUUGUAAAAUGGCAAAAACAUAAGGAUAAUACAAAGAAGAAGAUACUAGCAAGUAAACCUAUUAAAUACCUCAAACUCAAUCAUUGACAUUCUUUAAAACCACCAUAGGGAAUAUUUGACUGUCAGUUAUACCAGAGAUGUACCAAAGGUGAUGCCAGUGAGAAGAAGAAGUAUCUGUCAUUCAUGGAUGUGAAUUGAGCCUAAGUAAGUUGGACAAGGAUUUCAAUGAGAAACAAAGAAAAUUUAUUGCAUGAUAGCAGCUGCUGUUCAGACUCCAUUAGAAGGCUGUUCCGGAAUCACCUUUCUGACUGAGAGUUUUAUCAUCCAACUAUAAUAAUAAACUCCUAACUCACCUCCUAACUGGUCUCUUUAGUGUGGCUUCAGAUUCUUUAAUGCAUCUGUCUAGGUUAUAGCAAUCUUUGGGAAAGAUUGAUGAACCCUGUCAUGUUUCUUCAUACAUCUGAAAGAGUGCUAGAAGUAAGCAAUAAUCAGAGAAGAGGAUAAAGAUUACAUAAACUGAUAAUACUGAGAGCAUCUUUUGCCACUGUCAAGACUGGAAUAUUUUUAUGUUCACCACUGAAUAUUCAUAAAUUUUGUGACAUUACUUCGCUCACCCUCUGAUCCAUACGAAUCUCAAAACUUGUGCAGCAGGAAACAAUGUGAUUGCAGCCCAGGAUGAUUUAGGGUAGAUUUUCAAACCUUUUUUCCACUAAUAUGGAUGAGUAAGAGAGUAUAGCCUGAAUGACUGCCUCUGCAUUGAUAAAAUUGUAGUUUUCAAAUUCUUCUGGAGUAUCUUAAACAAUUUUACAUUUGAACUGCUAUGGAAAUCUAGACCUCAUGCUGGUUUAAGGGUCUUUGGCCAGGGCUACUCUCUGGAUCUUCUACUCUAUUCAUUUGCCUGGUCUAAAAGCAUCAGGACAACAUCUUUCCAUAUUCCUUCAAAAAAUGCAACUGUGUGAAGGGUAUCUACUUAAGUGAAAAUUAUUUGAAGGGGAUAAAUCAUGUAUUGGACUAGACUGGACAAUUUCAAGUAGACAUAACUUGGCAGGAAUAUGUGGAUAGAAAGAAAAACUGUAUCUCAAGUUCUGCUAGAGACAUCAACUACAAAAAUCAUAGAAAGCAAGAUUUAUCUGAUCUGAACUGCAUUUGUCCUUUAAAUAUUUACAUUUCACUGGUAAUCUUUGGAUUUGGGGUGGGGGAAGUAUUUUUCUUGCUAUGGAGAAUCAUCAACUUGUUACUGCAAGAUUUAACAGUUAAAGCCCUGCGUGUAUGAUAUUUUGAAUGUGUGUGUGCUCAAAAGAGGUCUUGAUGUCCCUUGGUACCUCCCUCCCUGAUGCAUUUUAUAACGGCUUGGAAUCUAAUCCUAUUAACUACUUCACUGUACAUGUAUAGCUUAAGAAUGUAUUUAAAUAUUUAGAAAAAUUGUGUUUGGGUAAUAGUAUUAAAAUGGAAAUAUACUCAAAUGAUGAAUGUUUAUUGUCCUUAGGAUGUUAGAUUAACAGAAUGAGAUAUAAUAUGUAAGUUUUAUUUAUUUGUGUAAUCCUUGGGAUCUAAUACUCAAGCACAGAGUUCUACAUUUGUAAACACCUGUUAUUUGCACAUACUUUUAAAAAUGGCUGGUUUCCUAUGGAAGUCUCUAAGAACAUGUUUGGUAAAUUGUCUUAUGAAAGAUUUUAGAAAGAAAUUGAGGCCAUUUUAAAAAGCUUUUUUGAUUCUAUAUUCAUUGAGUGCUUAUGGACAGCAGAGAAGAAAUUCGGGAAUGUUUAAGGCAUAGAUCAGGAAAGAUGGCAUUAGUUUAUUGCAUUUUGAGAAUAUUGUGUAUGAAAUAACGAAAUAUAAUUGCUUUGUGAGUAAUGUAAUUGCCAAAAAGAGUUUGCUAAACUAUAUAGGGGAAAUAUUUUAAUACAUGAUUAGAAAUAGAAUUGUUAAAAUACCUCUGAAUGAUAAUACAUUUAAAAUCAUUUGAUUGGGUUAUCAUUGGAUUAUUGCUCUGGCUUUAGCAGGAGAAUGGGGAUUGUUUUUAUAACUCACAUAAAAAGUUUUAUUACGAUUGUUCUAUGUGGAUAUAGGUACUAUUCUGUAAAUGGUUUUUAUGUUAAGAUUUAUGGUAUGAGAUUUCCUUCUCAUGAUAGAAUUGCACAAGAGGCCAACUUCUGUGAACACUUACAUAUUAAGGGUUUGAGUGGGCUUUUAUUGUUCUGUAUAUAAUAGAAAAAGUACUGUUAUACCAUCUUAUCAAAUAUAGAGAUGGUUGACAUCUUUGGCAUUUCAAUUGUUAUAAUAUAAUUUUGUUGGUUGCUGAGACAAGUUUCUAACCUUCUUUGUCUCUAUUAGGCAAAUAAAAGAGCUGAAUUUAGGGGAUAGGGAAUAGAGAUUUUUAGAGGGCUCUGUGAAUAUGCAUAUGUGCAGAUAGUUUCUGAACAGCCUCCCGGCUUUACUCCAUGCUCAGUUGCUGAGAAUUCACAUAUCUUAUUAACAAUUCUAAUGUUGAAUAGAGGUAGACUUUUUUCCUUUAGCCAGUAGAAUUGUUAAAUUCCCUCUCAACAUUAAUUCAUUUCCAUAAGAUAUUAUUAUGUAUUUUGUUAUAAACAAUGUUAUAAUGUUUAAUAAUUUUUGUUUAAAAUCUCUACAUGUAUAGACAUUGUAGAUCAAACAGCUUAUUAGAAUAGAACCAUUUUUCUUUGCCAAAAAGAGAUGUUAGUUGUAGCCUCUCUGGUUGUUCAUUGGAUCAUUAGGUUCACUUUUUAGGUUGUGGUAAAUAUAAUGUAUAGUAUCUAGUAUAAUCUGUCAUUGAUUUAUGACAAGAUUCUUCUAAACAAACAGAACACAGUUAUUUGUAUAGUGAAGAGAAAUAUGUACAUGUGGUAUAAUAGCAUAGGUUACAAGGGUUUUCAUUUGCUAGUGGAGUUUGACUUUUAAUAAUUGUUCAUGUUUUUAAAUACUUAUUUCUAGUUAUAUAGACAAUUUAUAUGUUUUUAUGGGGAAUGUUUGCAGUGGUAUAUCAAACAUAGAUCAUUAAAUUGUUGGCUAAUAAAAGAAAUGUUUUUGCAUUAUGUGUAUGAAUAGAUGUUUUUUUAAAUGCAUAGGAACUACUAUAUCUGCAUGUUGUAAACUGAACACAUUAAUGUCAGAUUGUGAGUAAUCAGACAGUUGAAGGGAUGUUUUGUUAGAUGGUUGUGUAUAACAGAAUAUAUAAUAGGUUUUGCUUUAAACUUAUGUCUUGAUUUAUAGGGAUGCUUACAUAUAUAUGUGUGUGUACAUAUACAUGCACAUAUGUGUACUUGUGUGUAUAAAACAAGUGUUUAUUAAAAGUCAUAGAGUAUAAACUUUAUUGGCCAAUUAAUCACUUGGCUUUAGUCUAUUUUCUGUGGAUUGUUUGAAGGUGGCUGAUACAAGUUUUAGUUUAUGAACUUCAGUUGCUGAAGGAUAUUGUGAGGCUGCUGGAUAUCUGGUGGAUGAAUGUUAGUUUACUUGAUAACAUCUCCAUAGAAUUUACUGAUAGGCAUGAAUUUUAUGAAUACCAAACUGGUAGACAAAUGUGAAAACACUUUGGUCAAUUGAAUUGCUAUAACAUGUCCAUUAGGGAUGUGUUUGGUUGAUGGGGAUUAAACUUAAUUGGUUUUACAUAUAGAAGAUAAAUGUCACUUUAUAAAACAUUUUUUGGUUAUGUAGUUUCCAUUAAUAGUUCUGGAAAUAUACUUUCUUGAAAUAUUGAAGGUAGAAUCACUGAUCAUAGGCAUAAUAGAGUUCAAUCUUCAUGAGUUAGGGUUGAUAAUGAGGGGUAUUUUUUUGUUCCUUUAUGUGUUCUUAAACUAGGUAUUCUUAGUGUAGAAAUCAUUGCUGAUCAUAAUUUAAAACAUGUAGACUUGUCAUUUUUUCUUAUUCCAAUGUAAUUUUUAGACAUUAAAUACAGGGAACAAAGCAGGGAAAUAUUUCACUGCUAUGUGUAUAAUAGACAAGCUUCUUGUUAUCUUAACAUUGUGGUUAUGUAGAAACUUCCUCUCUAUACACCCCCCCCCCAAAACACAGUAAAUAUGUUCAUGUUGAACUACGGUGAAAGAUCUUCUACCAGUGGAAGUGUUACAUGACCCCUGUGUGUUUUCACAUGGUAUGAAUGGGGGUGGUGGUGGUUAUUAGUUGUGUAUAUGAGAUUAGAUCUUUGUUUUUAUAUAAUGUAACUUUGUAGAUGUACAGAAAUUUUAUAUUUUUUUAAAUUUAUUUUACCUAAAAUUAUAGCACACCUUUUUUUUUUAACUUGUAGAAAUGAAAUAGUACCCUCUGUAUUAUUGAGAGUGAUUUUUUGGGCUACUACAGUUACCUUUAAAACACUUGCUCUUGCUCUUUCUAGUGUAGAGAUGUUGCUUAUAUACAUAUACUUUUAAAUGUCAGCAACUUGCUUUACCAGUGUAAUAAUUAGCUUUCUCCUCUGUAUGUUCAGUGUUUUGUGAAAUGCGGACCGGGUGGUGGAUGUUUUCCUGAUCUCAUAUCUAUAAUGUAUGAUUCUUUUGCUUUAUAUCUACUCAUUGGUUUAUAGAGAUUGUAGACAUGCAUAUGUUGUAAUCAUAAGAAUUCUAUAUGGGGUGGCUAUUGCAUUUAUAAUUGUUGCUUUAUAACAUUUGACUGUAAAUACAUAGAAUUGGUGAUAAACAGAAUGAUAGGGGACAGAAACAGUUUUUUUUUUUUUUUAUGUUAGUUCACCUUAGUGGAGCCUUUAUUGGAUUACUAGUAUUACUAAGAGGAAAUUAUUUGAAAACUGAGUUAAAAGCCUCUUGGAGCUAAUAUUUUUGUUAUUUGUAUAUAUAUAUAUAGGAUAAUGUUAGGAGUUAGAGUGGCUUUAAUUUUUUUACGUCACAUUUAGAUUUAGAAGGAAAAUUAGAUUGUAAUUAUUAAAUUGUCCGUUUUAUAUAAAAAUACCUAUGUCAAGGGAUAUGUACGUCAUGUAUUUAUUUUCCCAGAUAUACUAAGGUUUAUGAUAAAAUAUCUAAAUUUUAUGCUAUUACAUCACAAUAACCAAAACAACUUUGUAAAUAACAGGCAAAUGAAAUUUUUACUUUUAAAACAUCUAGUAUUUCUAGAUGUAUUGAGAGUCUCACAAAGUAUAAUUUUGUAAAUAUUUCAUUAUAAAUGUGUUAGUUCUGUUCUUCUAGAAUUAGCGUAGCAAUGAAAUUGAUCAUUGAUAGGCUCUUAGAGUUUUGUAAAAUUUAUCAUAUAUUAAUUUGGUUGUUAAGAGGAAAAAUUGACAAGAAUGUGCAUAUACCCCAUUCUUCGAUAGAAAAAUAGUUUUGUUACUGUAUAAAGCAUGUAAAUUCAUUUCUUGUUCAUGGAUGUACCAGGCUUCCUGGUAUAUUUGUUUUGUAUAUUUUUUGCCAAGACUUUAUUUUUUUAGAGCUGUUUUAGGUUCACAGUAAAAUUGAGGGGAAGGUACAGAUAUUUCCCAUAUUUCUUCUGCCCCAACACAUUCUUAAUCUCCCCAUUAUCAACCCAACUCAUAAUCACCCCCAUGAUCAAUAUCUCACCCACCAGAGUGGUACAUCUGUAUAACUGAUGAACCUACAUUGACAUAACACAAUCACCCAAAGUCUGUAGUUCAUGUGGGGGUUAAUUCUUGGUGUUGUCUAUUCAUUCGGUUUGGAUAAAUGUAUAAUAUAAUGUACAUUAUUAUGAGAUCAUACAGAGUAUUUUAAUUGCCAAAAAAGUUAUCUGUGCUGCACCUAUUCAUCCCUUCACCUAAAUGUUUUCUUUUUUUUUUCAAUGGAAAUAUAUAUGACUUUGUUAGAGAUGUUAUACUACCUCUUGGAACAAUACACAGUUCUGUAUGUGUUCCCUUGGUUGCAUGACAAUAUUCAAGACAACUUUGUAAAUAAUAGAUACAAGUUUAAAAUCUUUAACAUCUAGUCUUUCUAGAUGUAUAGAGUCUCACAAAGUAUAAUUUUGUAAAUAAUUUGUCGUAAAACUUUAUGGUUCCAUUGUUUUGUUCAAAUGCCUUAGCAGUGAAAUAGAAUGAAAUUGUGGAUUUCUGAUCUAUAUAUAUUUUGAUACUGAGUUGCUAGGGGGAAGGAGGAAACUUAGUAUGAAUUUCACUUUUGCAUUUUCUUAAAAGAAAAUUUUACAUUUUAACCAUUGGUUAGUCCUGUGUUACUAUACAUUAUAAAAAAUCUUGGUCAAAAUUUUAUGGUUGUAUUGCUAAUAGGGCAUUAUGUAUUUUAAUUAUAGAAAAUGUGUUUUAUAAAAGACUUCUUUUUUAAUUAAACAGUUCUGUAUUUAAUUGGGCAGCAUGACAACAUUCAAGACAAUUUUGAAAGUAACAGAUAAAUACACCUUUUUAAAAAAAGUUUUCCUACAUGUAUGGAAUUUUACUAAGCAUAAAUUCGUAACCAUUUGGUUGUAAAAUAUAAAUUGCAUUUUGUAAGUGUUUUGGCAGUAUAAAUGCAAUUAAUAACUGGCCUCUUGAGGCUGUAUAACAUUUUGGUGUUCAGUGGGUUUUUGGAGAGAGGAAUACGCGAAAUGCUUCUCUAUCUUCAUAUUGUUAGAUUCUCAUGUAUAAGAAAAAAUUUGAGUUGUAUACUUAAAAAAAAUACACCCCAGCGGGUAUUUGGGAUGUAUUUUUAUCUUCAGGAAGGAAGAGGAAGACAAGAUGAGAACUGCCAUUUGAAAUCAUAGAUGCCUUCAAAGUAUAAGAUAUUAACAUAGCUAAAGAGUUCUUAUUUUGCUCUGCUAUAUAAAUCUGCUCUUUGCAAAUUUAUGUGUGUGCAGAUACAUGUAUAUCAUAUAUGCACACUUACCCAAGUAAAAUUAGUUUUAGGGCUAUAGAUCUGAUAAUGCAUUUUUUUCUCAUUAGGUUAUAAUACAUUUUACUUAUUUGAAAAUUAUAAAAGUAUUUCAAUUCUAAGCUUAAACAUUCUAGAAACCCACUUCAUGUUACAUUCAAAUGUAUGUGGAUUUUUAUAUAAAGUGUUUAAGCAACCUGUAUCUGUUGUAGUCUGUUUCCAUAUAUAUAUACAUGUAUAUGAUGAUGGAAUUCCUGUGUUUAUGAGCUUUUUCUGUUUUUCUGAAAGCUUUUAAAAACGUUAAUGCUGAAGUUAUAUUUGUAUGUUUUGUGAUAAUCAGAAACAAUGUUUCCUGACUAUAAUGUAAAUUGUGAAAGUUUCUUGGAAAGAUACUGUACAGAAUUGGUCAAAGCAUAAAGUCAUUUGUUUUUGAACAACACUUUGACAGUAUCAAAAUGUGAGAGUGAAUCUUUUGAAGUGAUAUAACUUGGGCUGGGGCUUUUUCCCAAUUCUCAAAUUUACAAAGUAUCUUACAGAUUGAGUGUAAUAAAUAAUGGAAUGUCUGAAAUAUACAUCAAUAAAAUAAAGAUUGUGAUGAUUAUAGCUUAUUCACGAAUAUAAUUCAAAUACUGGAAAAAUAUUCUGAUUUCGAAACAUACUUAAUUGGUGCUUAGUGCUUUUGAACAAGUAACAACUGGUCAUAUUUCCAGAGGCAUAUACAUGUGUCUCUAGUUUUUAUAACCAAAAUAUUAAUGGUUAUUAUUCCUUGAAAGUAGAAUUAUCCUGACAUGAUUAUGGAGCUAAGUAAUGCUUAUUCAUCAAUGUUACUAUAAUGCUGAUUAUUAUAGCAAUCUUUUUUAAAAUUGUGUACAUGUGUAAGGUAAAUAAUAUGUUGAUUAUAUAUUCAUAUAUUGCUACAUGACAAUCUGAAACGCAUAUAUGAAUUAUUGAAUAGAAAGUUGGAAGAAAGCCCGGUGAAAUUUGAACAUUACUGUAGAGAGAGAUGGGAAUAGGAGGACUGUUUUUACUUUUCUGCAUUUGAAAUUUCAAAUAUUUCAUAAAGAACAUUUAAACAACAGAAGAAACUUUAAAGAAACAGCAACUUUGUGCCUGUCUUCAUCCUUGCCUAUUGACAUCUUGGAGUAUUGGACUGUUGUAUCCAACUUUGUAUUCCCAGUGACCAUUAUGAAUAGUUUUUGAUCAAGAAGAACAUGAUUAGAGACUAGUGCAGCAGUGACUUUUGCACAAAGAAAUAAGAGUAUUGGAAUACCCAAGGAAUGAAGGAGGGAGAGGAUGGGAUUUGAGGUGAACGUGAUGAAGAAAAGAUGCAGUUGCAGCAACCCUGAGGACAGCUGGCAUCCUCAAAAACAUUUCCUUAAUUCAUAAAUCUUAAUUGUGAACCACAGGAGAUAAUAGUUCCAAGAAAAGACACUUCUGCUGGCUUUGAUUUUAUCUGUUAACAGUAUUACUCAUUCAAGCGUUCUUCACUUCCAUCUUUUGUCCUCGAAAACACCCCUUGGUGAUACGAUUGUAAGGAUAGGUGAUGACUGAAUAGGAAACUGAUGCCAUUCAUUAUUUCUGCUACUAUCUUUAAAACCAAGAUGGUCUUCAAAAUGUAUGGAGACUCCUCUUUCAUUUGCUCAGUGGACACUCCUUGCAGAUCAGAAAAACUGGACUGAGAAAGCUGAUGUACGAAAUUGACAUAAAGGUUGUCAUUGGAGAAAAUUUAACCAGGCAUGUUAAGUGUUUUAUUGUUGCAUUAGACUAAAUAUCAGGUGCUUGAAUGGUGAUGAUUUAUGUCAGGAUGGUGUAAUUGCAAGGCUUCAUUUCAGUGUUCCCAUAAGUAUAUAUAUUUACAUAUUUAAAAUGGUUUAUAAAAAUACCAUCUUUUCAAGAUUUAGAGAGACAUAAGAAUUUCUGAAGCAUAGUUUUACUUAAAUGCCUUUUUCUUCUAAUCCUAUUCCCCCAAAUUAUCUACACUAUUGGAAUUUUUGUGCACAUCCUUUUGGUGUGUUAGUGAACUGAUGUGCAAGUAGUUAUUUUUGGCCUAUAAGAUAGAAAUUUCUAUUCAGUGAACAUGCUUAUAUCUUAAUUACUUUGAAUUUGUCCAACUGAUUUGUUGAAAUUACUCCAGUGAAUUGGAACUGCCAGGACUAAGGAUAUCCAAAAUUUAUAUUUUGAGUCAAAACUACAGGUUUCUCUCUUACUCGUAAAAAUGGUUCUCAUCAGUCUUGUCUCCCAGUGUUUAUGAGAGUUCUGUUUCUUAAAACAGUGGAAAUAAUUAGAUACCAGUGUUUUAUUCUUUGACAAUGUUACAAAGAAACAGCUUUAUUUCUGUUAUUGUUCAGCUUACUCAUUUUCAUAUAUUCUUAAUCCUUACUAGUCAUUUGCCACAUUUCAUUUUCCUGUUUUGUUAUUUUUGGUUACUCUUGCAAUAUUACUGUCUUGGUUACUGGUUUCUAGGAACUUUUUAACUUUGAAUGUCAACUAUUUGUCAUGCAUUACAAAUGAAAUACCAUGUUUUUGCUAUCAUUUUACUCUGUGUUUUAUUUUUGGUUGUACAGAAGUUAUGUAUUAAAAUACAGUCAUGAUUUGUUU
Non-coding RNA from Manis javanica (Malayan pangolin), 12843 nucleotides. The record is from RefSeq and is a predicted model, not a curated record. NCBI's taxonomy places the organism in Eukaryota, Metazoa, Chordata, Mammalia, Pholidota, Manidae.